RNAcentral lists this ribosomal RNA (584 nucleotides) under uncultured bacterium. RNAcentral's name for it is "bacterial SSU rRNA". It matches the Rfam family "Bacterial small subunit ribosomal RNA", at positions 342 to 916 of the family's 1533-position model. The record is from RNAcentral.
CGGGAGGCAGCAGUGGGGAAUUUUGGGCAAUGGCCGAAAGGCUGACCCAGCGACGCCGCGUGCGGGAGGACGCCCUUCGGGGUGUAAACCGCUGUCAGAGGGGACGAAACUCGGGGGUGUGAAUAGCGCCCUCGCUUGACGGUACCUUCAAAGGAAGCGCCGGCUAACUCUGUGCCAGCAGCCGCGGUAAUACAGAGGGCGCGAGCGUUGUUCGGAAUCACUGGGCGUAAAGCGCGCGCAGGCGGGACGACAAGUGGGGAGUGAAAUUCCGGGGCUCAACUCCGGGCCUGCUUUCCAAACUGUCGACCUGGGGACCGGUAGAGGCCGGUGGAAUUCCCGGUGUAGCGGUGGAAUGCGUAGAGAUCGGGAAGAACACCCGUGGCGAAGGCGGCCGGCUGGGCCGGAUCCGACGCUGAGGCGCGAAAGCGUGGGGAGCAAACAGGAUUAGAUACCCUGGUAGUCCACGCCGUAAACGAUGGGCACUAGGCGCUGGGGGGAGCGACCCCUUCGGUGCCGCAGCUAACGCGUUAAGUGCCCCGCCUGGGGAGUACGGCCGCAAGGCUGAAACUUAAAGGAAUUGACGG